AUGCCUCGCCGUAUACACUCAGACCAGGGAGCCAACUUUGAGAGCGCUUUAAUAACCGAACUGUUGAGUGUUGCAGGCGUUCAGAAGUCUCACACCACUCCGUACCAUCCAAUGGGGAAUGGGUCCUGUGAAAGGAUGAAUAGGACUUUGGGAAACAUGAUCCGGGCCCUGCCAACGAGAGCAAAGCACAGAUGGCCUCAGGCGCUGAAGUCCCUCACGUUUGAGGACAAUUGUACAAUCCAAGAGACCACAGGCUUUGCCCCUUUCCUGCUAAUGUUUGGGAGGACGCCAAUACUGCCUGUUGACAUAGUCUUUGGCUCUGUCAUAGAGAACCCAGAAGUUGUCGACUAUGACCAGUUUGUUCAGUCUUUGAGGAGAGAUCUGAAAGAAGCCAUGAAUGCAGCACAGGCAUCUGCAGUGAAGCAGUUGAAGAGGCAUGCUGACCUUUAUGACAGAAGAGUCAGAGGAGCACCAGUGGAGAUUAGGGAUCGAUUAUUGCUGGCUAAAAAGGGGGAGCGGGGAAAGCGGAAGCUCGCUGACCGUUGGGAGGAUACUGUCUACCUUGUCACUGGAUUGAAUGCUGACAGUCACACUUUUAAGAACAGCUCCACUGGAUGGGAGAAGACGGUACAUCGCAACCUGAUAAUGCCAGUCAACUUUCUUCCUCUUCCCCAUGCUGCCGUUGAUGAGGGAACAGACAUGUCUGGAUUAACAGAGUCUGAGGACAUGAAUGACAGCCUUGUGGUCUCAGCUGCCAUGGACACUGCAGUGGAUGAUGGUGCUGAAUACAGUACCAGAGUGUGGGUGUCAGAAUUGUCUUCUGAAGGAACAGGUGACACAAGCCUGGAGGGUGAUGUGCGAUCCUUGGAUGCUCAGGAUAUUCCACCUUUGGAUUCUGUGGAUGAUAUACUGCAGCUGGAAGGUCUGUCUCAAUCAGAGAGUCUUCAAGAAUCUGACCGAGACUGUAACAGUGUAGUGAGUGAGCUAAUUGACCAGUCUGUUUACGAUAUCUGUACUGACCUACCAAACGCAGACCAUUCCUUACCUGAUCAGUUACGCACGGACUGUGUUGACGGACACACUAUUGCAACAGUACACAACACUGUUACCCCUUAUCCAGUUGAAGGUAGUCGGGGUCGUAUUAGGUAA
Molecule: long non-coding RNA, 1149 nt
Filed under: Oncorhynchus mykiss (rainbow trout)
Lineage: Eukaryota; Metazoa; Chordata; Actinopteri; Salmoniformes; Salmonidae
Description: lncRNA (ENSOMYG00000053013.1)
Source: RNAcentral